This 254-nucleotide ribosomal RNA is filed under the name uncultured bacterium. RNAcentral's name for it is "partial 16S ribosomal RNA". It matches the Rfam family "Bacterial small subunit ribosomal RNA", at positions 524 to 776 of the family's 1533-position model. The record is from RNAcentral.
UACGUAGGGGGCAAGCGUUAUCCGGAAUUACUGGGUGUAAAGGGUGAGUAGGCGGCACGGCAAGUAAGAUGUGAAAGCCCACAGCUUAACUGUGGGAUUGCAUUUUAAACUGUUGAGCUAGAGUACAGGAGAGGAAAGCGGAAUUCCUAGUGUAGCGGUGAAAUGCGUAGAUAUUAGGAAGAACACCAGUGGCGAAGGCGGCUUUCUGGACUGGAAACUGACGCUGAGGCACGAAAGCGUGGGGAGCGAACAGG